Molecule: RNA transcript, 4553 nt
Organism: Neogale vison (American mink)
Lineage: Eukaryota; Metazoa; Chordata; Mammalia; Carnivora; Mustelidae
Gene: USP48
Gene name: ubiquitin specific peptidase 48
Exons: 12
Source: RefSeq, a predicted model, not a curated record
GCGCGCACAGGUGAUUGACUGGCCAGCUGGCUGAGGAAUCGCCUGGUCCCCAUUGCUGGCAGGUGGCGGAGCCCAUUUGGGCGGCGGCAGCAGCAGGAGCGGCAGCAGCUACGGCCCGGCUCGGGAGGCGUUUUUCGGGCCAAGGCUAUGGCCCCGCGGCUGCAGCUGGAGAAGGCGGCCUGGCGCUGGGCGGAGACGGUGCGGCCCGAGGAGGUGUCGCAGGAGCACAUCGAGACCGCCUACCGCAUCUGGCUGGAGCCCUGCAUCCGCGGCGUGUGCAGACGAAACUGCAAAGGAAAUCCGAAUUGCUUGGUUGGCAUUGGCGAGCAUAUUUGGUUAGGAGAAAUAGAUGAAAAUAGUUUCCAUAACAUUGAUGAUCCCAACUGUGAGAGGAGAAAAAAGAACUCAUUUGUGGGCCUCACUAACCUUGGCGCUACAUGUUACGUCAACACAUUUCUUCAAGUAUGGUUUCUCAACCUGGAGCUGCGGCAAGCACUGUACUUGUGUCCAAGUACCUGUAAGGACUACAUGAUGGGAGAUGGUAUCCAAGAGGAGCAAGAUUAUGAGCCUCAGACAAUUUGUGAGCAUCUCCAGUAUUUGUUUGCCUUGUUGCAAAACAGUAACAGGCGAUACAUUGAUCCAUCGGGAUUUGUUAAAGCCUUGGGCUUGGACACAGGGCAACAACAGGAUGCCCAAGAAUUUUCAAAGCUCUUCAUGUCUCUGUUGGAAGACACUCUGUCUAAACAAAAGAAUCCAGAUGUGCGGAACAUUGUCCAGCAGCAGUUCUGUGGAGAAUAUGCUUAUGUAACCGUUUGCAAUCAGUGUGGCAGAGAGUCUAAGCUUUUAUCAAAGUUUUAUGAACUGGAGUUAAAUAUCCAAGGCCACAAGCAGUUAACGGAUUGCAUCUCAGAAUUUUUGAAGGAAGAAAAAUUAGAGGGAGACAAUCGAUACUUUUGUGAAAACUGUCAAAGUAAACAGAAUGCCACAAGGAAGAUCAGGCUCCUGAGCCUUCCCUGCACCCUGAAUUUACAGCUGAUGCGUUUUGUCUUCGACAGGCAAACUGGACAUAAGAAAAAGCUGAAUACCUACAUUGGCUUCUCAGAAAUUUUGGAUAUGGAGCCUUAUGUGGAACAUAAAGGUGGGUCCUAUGUGUAUGAACUCAGUGCAGUCCUUAUACACAGAGGAGUGAGUGCAUAUUCUGGCCACUACAUUGCCCAUGUGAAAGAUCCACAGUCCGGUGAAUGGUAUAAGUUUAACGAUGAAGACAUAGAAAAGAUGGAGGGGAAGAAAUUGCAACUAGGGAUUGAGGAAGAUCUAGCAGAACCUUCUAAGUCCCAGACACGUAAACCCAAGUGUGGCAAAGGAACUCACUGCUCUCGAAAUGCGUAUAUGUUGGUAUAUAGACUACAAACUCAAGAAAAACCCACCACAGCUGUUCAGGUACCAGCCUUUCUUCAAGAGCUGGUAGAUCGCGAUAAUUCCAAAUUUGAGGAGUGGUGUAUUGAAAUGGCCGAGAUGCGCAAGCAGAGCGUGGACAAAGGAAAAGCUAAACACGAAGAGGUUAAGGAGCUGUACCAAAGGUUACCUGCUGGAGCUGGUCUGUAAGAUAUUCUGGGACAGCACUGUUGCCAUGAUGUGCCUUGUCUCUUUCAUGUUCGCAGAUGUAUAUGAACAAACCUGCCCCCAACCCUUUCCUAUACCCUACUCGUGCCGCUGAAGCGCUGCAGAAUUACUGUGUAAACCAGCAACAGUGUGAUGUGUAGCGUUCCUUAGAGUUUUCAUUUAUCAUGUACUUUAAGAAUGGGAAGCUCUUAAUAAAUUACAAGGUUUAGGUCAGCGCUCUGUGUAUAUAUAAGUCUUGCAGACAUUUUUGUUUUGUAAGAUACUAAUUUGUUCUUAACAAAAGAUCUGAUUGGAUAACUAUGGAAGCAACUGACUAUGUUGAUUCCUUGCACAGUGUGUGCCCUGGCCUUAUUAACCGGCACUCUUUUCUAUGAAUGCUAUUUUUAUGAUUCUGGUAGACUGAUCUGAAAUUUUAAUAUCAAAUAUUCUGCUAAGAAUAGGAGAGCUCUGCUGACCCCUAAUUUCUUAAGAAUUAUCCCACAUGAGCCAGCUCAUCCCUUUACUGUGUAUGUUUAAUGCAAGUUUACCUAGUGUAGUGCCUUAGAAAGAAAAUCCCAACUUUUCCAGGCUACUGUGCCACCAGUAAUGAUACGCUGUCUUUGUUGUUUCAUUGACAGAAUUCCCCAUGCCCAGUUCCUGCGUAAAGGAGAGGCAAUUCAAUCCUAAUUUUAGAAAAUAAAUACUCAAGCAUAAUUGUAUUUGUGGUUUUGUCUUUUUCAUAUCUUAAUUUUCUAUUACUGGUAUAACUUUAAACAAAAGAUGAAUAUAAAUUGCUAAAUCUGUAAGAAUAGCUCUUAAAAGUUCUUUCUGAACAUAUCUUACUUGAUUCUGACCUUUCUUUGUAACCUGCUACUCUGACUCUGUCCCAAGGGUUGGGAUGAUUCUAAAGUGCUAGACUGACCUUAUUUUACUGGAAAUUAUUUGGAAAUGAAUAUGAUUCAAAUCUCUAAAUUUAUUCAAAAGAGUUGAGACCUAGAAAUCUAUUUUUGAACUGUAUUCCCCAGUUUCCUGCAUUCACUGGACGAGAGACUGGGACUUACUGAAUCUAAAGUAAAGUGCCGUUUUUGAACCACUCUUUAAAACUGCUGCAUCACCCAAAGAUUGGAUGUGUCAGGUUAACACUUGUGCUUAAUACUUGGGCUUCUCUUGGCUGUUUUCGUUUAGUCUAGAAGAACCUGUGCUUAUGUUCUUAGAAUAUGGCUCUUUAUCAGUACUUUUACAAAUUAUGAACUUUAUGAUUUUUUUUUUCCCAUUUGCAGUAAACUUACAUGGUAGAAAAUAUAUGUUGUGCUAAAAUGUUGAAAAAUCCCAAAGCAGAUGACCAUGGUUUUGUGCUGCCAAUCCAAGUCUUUGCUAAGCAUUUUCUGAAUCCUAUCUGUGUUUGCAAACCUAUUUAAAGAAGAGUCACUUACCUAAAAUACAAGCCUCAUUGGGAACACAAACCCUUUGGCCCUUUUUAUUAAAACAAAUUACCCCUAAAUAAUCAAAUUUUAUCUCUAGGUGGAGUGUUCCAAAUAUUUUUGAUGCCACAGUUUUCCCUGGCCUUUUUUUUUUUUAUAACUCCCCCAAAGAAAAUGUCUAAUGUUCAAUCCAGCAUUUAAAAAAAAAAAAGUUAGAAGUAACUUUUAACCGAAAUGUACAUUUUCCUUAGUAAAUAUUUUAACAAAUGCUUUCCUGUUUGGCUAAAUGCUGAGAUUUUAAACACUGGUAUCUCCACCUUGGCGAAUAGAGGUCUCAUUCCUUUUUGGGGUGAAAGUGUUGCUCAGGUGCUUUUCUGGAUCACAAGUCAUAAAGAACUUGCCGUGAGUCUUUGUCUAGAGCGGAAGCAUCUGUAGUUUAAAAACUUUCUAGCAAAUCUGCCUUAACCUUGAGACUUGAGCUCGACCCUGAUCCCAGGGAUACUCUUGGCAGAGAUUGAUACAGUUCGUUAUAGUAACAGUGAUGGAAAAUGAGAGAAAGAGAGACCUAUGACCACAGUUCCUCUUCUCCCACGGGUCCUCCAGCAUACUAAAACUGGCACCCUGAUUCUAGAAAAUGGCCAGAAUUAAUAAUACAGUAUUACAUCAGAAUCCCUGGCCUGCUCUCUUCCUCCUCUUACUAUAAAAUAGAUAUGAUUUUUCUGAUCUUAAUAUCUUACAUUUAAUUCAUAUGAAACUGCUCAAAACCAGAAUAUGCUUCACUUGGACAUUUCUGUGGGACUCUGGUAGGGGAUUGGAGCACGGUGUCUUGAACAGACUGCCGUUGAGCCUCGUUGUUGUCGUACAGGUCAGGGGUAUGGCCGCCCUGGACCUUGAGUCCUAUCAGACAGCCCUUGGGCAGGCGUGCUUUGUGCACAUGCAGUUUUCCUAGAUUGCUGUUCUUGUGAGGGUGAGAUCCUUACUGCAUUCUUCACUUAGCCAUAGCACGUGUCGUCUGCUCUUCUGGGAAAUGAGAACACCUGCCAAAUUAUUCUGGAAUGUGGCUCUGUGUCACAGUUGUGUUUUCCCUCCUUUGAUGGCCUUUAGAUCAAUACAAAUUUUAAUCUAUGUGACUGUAUUUGGGAAAAGAAGAGAUAUGCCGAAACGUUCACUUUCCUUUCUUGGAUAGAGAUCAUUUGUCUUUGCAUUCUUAAGAUACCCAGUGUACUCUGUCCCUGGCAGAUGCAACGUGAUAAAUGGCAAAUAAAAUUGGGAGGGAUUUUAAAUUUAAUGAAUGGCACCAUUUAUAUAUUGUAUGUAAAGUGCCAUGACCAUGUAAUCUAUACUGAAUGUUAAGGUCUCCUCUUUAUAUAUAUUUUGUGAAUGUAUGAUUAACUUUUCUAUAUCUCUUUUCUUCCAAAAAGCUCAAAAUGCUUCACUUAUCUUAUCUUUUACAUUCAACAACAUCCCUGUGAGAGCCCUAUGAAUUUGUCUCUCUUGAGUGGCUGCAGAAGUGGCUGGAUGAAUCAACAC